RNAcentral lists this ribosomal RNA (318 nucleotides) under uncultured bacterium. Its description in RNAcentral is "bacterial SSU rRNA". It matches the Rfam family "Bacterial small subunit ribosomal RNA", at positions 28 to 346 of the family's 1533-position model. The record is from RNAcentral.
GACGAACGCUGGCGGCGUGCUUAACACAUGCAAGUCGAGCGGUAAGGCCCUUUCGGGGUACGACGAGCGGCGAACGGGUGAGUAACACGUGGGUGACCUGCCCUCAGCUCUGGGAGUAAGCCUGGGAAACUGGGUCUAAUACUGGAUAUGACUCCACGGUGCAUGUCGUGGGGUGGAAAGCCUUGUGCGGCUGAGGAUGGGCCCGCGGCCUAUCAGCUUGUUGGUGGGGUGAUGGCCUACCAAGGCGACGACGGGUAGCCGGCCUGAGAGGGCGACCGGCCACACUGGGACUGAGACACGGCCCAGACUCCUACGGGA